Molecule: non-coding RNA, 103 nt
Filed under: Cellulomonas carbonis T26
Lineage: Bacteria; Bacillati; Actinomycetota; Actinomycetes; Micrococcales; Cellulomonadaceae
Also listed under: 1 other name
Description: Cellulomonas sp. T26 Glycine riboswitch aptamer
Rfam family: Glycine riboswitch aptamer
About the family: This family represents the bacterial glycine riboswitch.
Source: Rfam by way of RNAcentral
CGAACCGUGACGGGAGAGUCCCGCCCCAGCCUGGCGGCGGGGGCGGGCGCCGAAGGAGCAACCUCCCCGGGAAUCUCUCAGGCCCACGUACCGCCACGGUGAG